AGCGAACGUUAGCGGCGGGCCUAACACAUGCAAGUCGAACGCGAAAGGUCUUCGGACUGAGUAGAGUGGCGCACGGGUGAGUAACACGUAGGUAAUCUACCCUUUGGCGGGGGAUAACGUUCCGAAAGGAGCGCUAAUACCGCAUAAGACCACGGAGUCUCCGGACGCUGUGGGAAAAGGUGGCCUCUUCUUGAAAGCUACCACCGAAGGAUGAGCCUGCGUCCCAUCAGCUAGUUGGUAAGGUAAUGGCUUACCAAGGCGAAGACGGGUAGCUGGUUUGAGAGAAUGAUCAGCCACACUGGCACUGGAACACGGGCCAGACUCCUACGGGAGGCAGCAGUGAGGAAUAUUGGGCAAUGGGCGAAAGCCUGACCCAGCCACGCCGCGUGAGUGAUGAAGGCCCUCGGGUCGUAAAGCUCUGUGGAGAGGGACGAAAACCCUGGUUUCCAAAUAGGCUCCAGGCUUGACGGUACCUCUUUAGCAAGCACCGGCUAACUCUGUGCCAG
This 506-nucleotide ribosomal RNA is filed under the name uncultured bacterium. RNAcentral's name for it is "bacterial SSU rRNA". It matches the Rfam family "Bacterial small subunit ribosomal RNA", at positions 29 to 511 of the family's 1533-position model. The record is from RNAcentral.